RNAcentral lists this transfer RNA (74 nucleotides) under Rhodococcus phage Grayson. Its description in RNAcentral is "tRNA-Lys". It matches the Rfam family "tRNA". Rfam says of the family: Transfer RNA (tRNA) molecules are approximately 80 nucleotides in length. Their secondary structure includes four short double-helical elements and three loops (D, anti-codon, and T loops). Further hydrogen bonds mediate the characteristic L-shaped molecular structure. tRNAs have two regions of fundamental functional importance: the anti-codon, which is responsible for specific mRNA codon recognition, and the 3' end, to which the tRNAs corresponding amino acid is attached (by aminoacyl-tRNA synthetases). tRNAs cope with the degeneracy of the genetic code in two manners: having more than one tRNA (with a specific anti-codon) for a particular amino acid; and 'wobble' base-pairing, i.e. permitting non-standard base-pairing at the 3rd anti-codon position. Lineage: Duplodnaviria; Heunggongvirae; Uroviricota; Caudoviricetes. The record is from RNAcentral.
GGUGCAUUAGCUCAGCUGGUAGAGCAGCGUCCUCUUAAGUCGCGGGUCGGGGGUUCAAGUCCCUCAUGCAUCAC